AUGCUCUAUAGAUGAUGAGAAGGUGUCCAAAUAAUGUAUAUUUAGAAAUCAACUCCGUUUUGGGGUUAAAACGGGGGAUGGUAGGUUGACUUACUCAUCACGAAAUCUCCGAAACUAUAACAGCUACAAAUUUGAAAAUUGGCAAGUAGGUUCCUUAUAAGACAUAUACAUUUGCUAAGAACGAAUUUUAUGAAACUCGACCCCUAAGGUGAUAAAACGGGGAUUGGAAGUUUGUAUGAAAGUCCUAUGUUUUUGAAGUAAGAGACUUGAAAUU
Molecule: unclassified non-coding RNA, 274 nt
Filed under: Melitaea cinxia (Glanville fritillary)
Lineage: Eukaryota; Metazoa; Arthropoda; Insecta; Lepidoptera; Nymphalidae
Description: misc RNA ENSMCXG00005020674.1
Source: RNAcentral